UGAGAGUGUGUCCUGUGUGUGUGUAUGUGUCCUGUUUGUGUGUGUGUGUGUGUGUGUGUGUGUGUGUGUGUGUGUGUGUGUGUGUGUGUGUGUGUGUGUGUGUGUGUGUGUGUGUGUGUGUGUCCAGUGUGUGUGUGUGUGUGUGUGUGUGAGUCCAGUGUGUGUGUGUUUGUUUGUCUAGUGUGUGUGUGUGUGUGUGUGUGUUUGUCCAGUGUGUGUGUGUGUGUGUGUGUGUGUGUGUGUGUGUGUGUUUGUCCAUGUGUGUGUGUGUGUGUGUGUGUGUGUUUGUUUUUGUCCAGUGUGUGUGUGUGUGUGUGUGUUUGUCCAGUGUGUGUGUGUGUGUGUGUUUGUCCAUGUGUGUGUGUGUGUGUUUGUCCAGUGUGUGUGUGUUUGUCCAGUGUGUGUGUGUGUGUGUGUUUGUCCAGUGUGUGUGUGUGUGUGUGUUUGUCCAGUGUGUGUGUGUGUGUGUGUGUUUGUCCAGUGUGUGUGUGUGUGUGUGUGUGUUUGUCCAGUGUGUGUGUGUGUGUGUGUGUUUGUCCAGUGUGUGUGUGUGUGUGUGUGUUUGUCCAGUGUGUGUGUGUGUGUGUUUGUCCAGUGUGUGUGUGUGUGUGUGUCCAGUGUGUGUGUGUCCAGUGUGUGUGUGUGUUGUGUGUGUGUGUGUGUCCAGUGUGUGUGUGUGUGUGUCCAGUGUGUGUGUGUGUGUGUCCAGUGUGUGUGUGUGUGUGUCCAGUGUGUGUGUGUGUCCAGUGUGUGUGUGUGAGUCCAGUGUGUGUGUGUGUGUGUUUGUCUAGUGUGUGUGUCCAGUGUGUGUGUGUCUGUGUGUAUCCAGUGUUUGUGUGUGUGUGUGUCCAGUGUGUGUGUUUGUCCACUUUGUUUGUCCAGUGUGUGUGUGUGUGUGUGUCCAGUGUGUGUGUGUGUGUGUGUGUGUGUCCAGUGUGUGUGUGUGUAUGUGUGUGAGUGUGUGUGUGUUUUCGUUUGUCCAG
Molecule: long non-coding RNA, 983 nt
Filed under: Salmo salar (Atlantic salmon)
Lineage: Eukaryota; Metazoa; Chordata; Actinopteri; Salmoniformes; Salmonidae
Description: lncRNA (ENSSSAG00000086037.1)
Source: RNAcentral